Molecule: ribosomal RNA, 611 nt
Filed under: Actinomyces sp. oral taxon 448
Lineage: Bacteria; Bacillati; Actinomycetota; Actinomycetes; Actinomycetales; Actinomycetaceae
Description: bacterial SSU rRNA
Rfam family: Bacterial small subunit ribosomal RNA
Source: RNAcentral
UGGGCGCAAGCCUGAUGCAGCGACGCCGCGUGAGGGAUGGAGGCCUUCGGGUUGUGAACCUCUGUCGCCGGUGAUGUAGGCUCUGCUUUGUGGGUGGGGUUGACGGUAGCCGGGGUAUGAAGUGCCGGCUAACUACGUGCCAGCAGCCGCGGUAAUACGUAGGGCGCGAGCGUUGUCCGGAAUUAUUGGGCGUAAAGAGCUCGUAGGCGGCUGGUCGCGUCUGUCGUGAAAUCCUCUGGCUUAACUGGGGGCGUGCGGUGGGUACGGGCCGGCUUGAGUGCGGUAGGGGAGGCUGGAAUUCCUGGUGUAGCGGUGGAAUGCGCAGAUAUCGGGAGGAACACCGGUGGCGAAGGCGGGUCUCUGGGCCGUGUACUGACGCUGAGGAGCGAAAGCGUGGGGAGCGAACAGGAUUAGAUACCCUGGUAGUCCAUGCUGUAAACGUUGGGCACUAGGUGUGGGGGGUCUUUCCGGGUCUUCCGCGCCGUAGCUAACGCAUUAAGUGCCCCGCCUGGGGAGUACGGCCGCAAGGCUAAAACUCAAAGGAAUUGACGGGGGCCCGCACAAGCGGCGGAGCAUGCGGAUUAAUUCGAUGCAACGCGAAGAACCUUACC